RNAcentral lists this ribosomal RNA (229 nucleotides) under uncultured bacterium. RNAcentral describes it as "partial 16S ribosomal RNA". It matches the Rfam family "Bacterial small subunit ribosomal RNA", at positions 568 to 796 of the family's 1533-position model. The record is from RNAcentral.
UCCGUAGGUGGAUAAUUAAGUCAGAGGUGAAAUCCUGCAGCUCAACUGUAGAAUUGCCUUUGAUACUGGUUAUCUUGAAUUAUUGUGAAGUGGUUAGAAUAUGUAGUGUAGCGGUGAAAUGCAUAGAUACUACAUAGAAUACCAAUUGCGAAGGCAGAUCACUAACAAUAUAUUGACACUGAUGGACGAAAGCGUGGGGAGCGAACAGGAUUAGAUACCCUGGUAGUCC